CUCCCAUUCUUUUUAACAUUGCACUAAGGUUACCUUAGUGACUUACGAUCACCUUAGUGCCUUUGUGAAAGAAGGCCCAGAUCGACAUCUUCAAUUCUCACUG
This 103-nucleotide long non-coding RNA is filed under the name Haliotis rubra (blacklip abalone). RNAcentral's name for it is "uncharacterized LOC124277531". Lineage: Eukaryota; Metazoa; Mollusca; Gastropoda; Lepetellida; Haliotidae. The record is from RNAcentral.